RNAcentral lists this ribosomal RNA (274 nucleotides) under uncultured bacterium. RNAcentral describes it as "partial 16S ribosomal RNA". It matches the Rfam family "Bacterial small subunit ribosomal RNA", at positions 523 to 796 of the family's 1533-position model. The record is from RNAcentral.
AUACGGAGGGUGCAAGCGUUAUUCGGAAUCACUGGGCGUAAAGGACGCGCAGGCGGCUAUUUAAGUUGGAUGUGAAAGCCUACGGCUCAACCGUAGAACUGCAUCCAAAACUAUUUAGCUAGAGUGUGGGAGAGGAAGAUGGAAUUAGUUGUGUAGGGGUAAAAUCCGUAGAGAUAACUAGGAAUACCAAAAGCGAAGGCAAUCUUCUGGAACACUACUGAUGCUGAGGCGCGAAAGCGUGGGUAGCAAACGGGAUUAGAAACCCUAGUAGUCC